This 203-nucleotide long non-coding RNA is filed under the name Trifolium pratense (red clover). RNAcentral's name for it is "long non-coding RNA (TPRA_LNC012206)". The record is from RNAcentral. Lineage: Eukaryota; Viridiplantae; Streptophyta; Magnoliopsida; Fabales; Fabaceae.
CAAUUGUCCCUUUCGGUGUCCGCUUUACUAUUUAAAAAAUUUAUGAAUUUUUAUUCAUAGUAAUGCAUGAAUAGAUAUAUAUUAUGCUUUGAUGACCCUUAGUCCCUAAAUUCAAAUAAUUGCUACUCAAGUCCCUGAAUGUGAAAUCUUAUAGUAAUUCAUAUCGGUUGUUAAGUCCCUGAAUGUGAAAUCUUGUUGUUGCC